UGUAGGGCAAGAGAAGAAGACCCAGCCGAUCAGCUAGAACGCUGAUCAGCUGAGACACGAGGCAGCGAAUAGAUAGGGGAAGAGCCAGCCAGAGGUGGUAUGUGCCAGUUCUCCAAACUAGUCAAAAUUUCUGCUACUGGUCAGAACUGGCUGAAUACCACCUCUGGUCUUGGGUCCUGAAUAUAUGUCCUAAACUCCAAAUCCUUCGUGCUCCAUUGAGCACACAGUGCAUGGUGAAAGUGGAUAGAUUUAAGUUCCUCUUGUACACAUGUAUAUUUAUAGGAAAAGUGAAUAGCAUUGGCAAAGACUGAUUUUAUUACACAAAAACUAUAGGUAUAGAAACAUGGUAACCAUUAGCAGAAGCUUGACAAUUGAUUUGAACAUAAUGUAUUUGCUGACAUGUAUCCUUUUAUAUUUCAGAAACAUUGUCUGAUGCAUUGAGCAACUCUUUUAUCAUGCAUUUUCAUAUUGCAGGCAUUUUUGCCAUCCUCUUUAUCUUGAUUGCUGUUUUCUGUUAAUUGUUCACUGAAGAUUUGGCAGCCAAACUUCACAUGCCAAACCUGUUUUCCCCCUCCACUGCCCUCUGGCUUCAGUAGUGCCAUUUUCAGUUACUGUGUGCCAUGAUGAAAUGGUGCAGGUUGUGGCAGAGCUACCUGCAUAAUGAAUGCAUAAACCUUUCCCAUCGGGCAACCUGCAAGUCUCUUGAAACUGCAGGAAAGUUGGAUGGAAAUAAUAGGAGCUGCAGUUUCAUCUGAAGGAUGCCUGGAAGACUGAUAUUGUAACUGUAUGUGGAAAUGACUUUGGAAGACAGAGAUUCUGCCUGAGAACCGUCAGACACACUACCGGAAUGUGAUGGGCUACCAUUAAUCCUGUGUCUAGUCUUCAGUAGACUUGCUACAAGGCAAGCUAUAUUGAGUAUUUUUUCCUAAAACUGAGAAACUACUUUGUUGAACAAGAUUUCAAAGGGAUCAUCCUCAAGACUCAUUACGGUACACAGGAGAUGCAGACCAAAUGAUCCAUCUCAAAAAACAUUCAUCACCAUCAUCAUGGCAAAUUAAAGUUAGAAUCCUUGGUAGUCUCAUUGUCCUUAAGUCUUAUUGAAAUCAAUGUCAAAUGUUCUUCAUUUCAUGGACCCUAACUGCAAAUUUGCUCAGAAACUGGCUUAUUGUCAAAAUACACUCUAAGAUUCUUUUGUAUUGGUGAAUAGCUUGCUUUUUUUUGCUUGCUUGGAACAAUCUUAUACAAAUCUACAUCAUAUCAGAUUUCAAGAUGGAGAUAAUGUCUCUUCAUAGAUGAGCACAGAUAAUUCAUAAACCAUGAUAGAGAAAGGGUCAGGUAGCACCAACUUCUUCUAUAUCAAUAUUCUAUUUGAAGCACUGUAACACCUAACAAGAUCUGAAUAAGAUUUUUCCCAAGUAUUGAACUUUUCUAUGUUCUUUUGCCUUGGGAUUUCCCUUUGAUACUAAAUAGAUUUUCAAGGGUCUUAGGUUGAGGAGCAUGUGGUAGCUGACUAUGACUAAGAGAAAGAGAGAGCAAGUGAGCUGAAACAAAGCUGUCUAUGAAGCUUUUAAAAAAAUGUUCUGAAUCCACUGCAUUAAAUGCUACUUAAUGGACGGACACGGUGACUAAGUGGCUAAGAUGCUGAGCUUGUCAAUCAGAAAGGUUGACAGUUCGAAUCCCUAGCACCGUGAGCUCC
Molecule: long non-coding RNA, 1696 nt
Organism: Thamnophis sirtalis
Lineage: Eukaryota; Metazoa; Chordata; Lepidosauria; Squamata; Natricidae
Source: RefSeq, a predicted model, not a curated record